UUCUAUGAUGAACCCAGAUAGGGACAACUGAUGCUCAGCAUUUGGUGAGACCUUGGGAGACAUUUUAGUAGAUGCGUCUCUUAUCUGAGA
This 90-nucleotide small nucleolar RNA is filed under the name Xylona heveae TC161. Its description in RNAcentral is "A. fumigatus snoRNA Afu_335". It matches the Rfam family "A. fumigatus snoRNA Afu_335". Lineage: Eukaryota; Fungi; Ascomycota; Xylonomycetes; Xylonales; Xylonaceae. The record is from Rfam by way of RNAcentral.